RNAcentral lists this ribosomal RNA (460 nucleotides) under uncultured bacterium. Its description in RNAcentral is "partial 16S ribosomal RNA". It matches the Rfam family "Bacterial small subunit ribosomal RNA", at positions 338 to 795 of the family's 1533-position model. The record is from RNAcentral.
CCUACGGGAGGCAGCAGUGAGGAAUAUUGGUCAAUGGACGAGAGUCUGAACCAGCCAAGUAGCGUGAAGGAUGACUGCCCUAUGGGUUGUAAACUUCUUUUAUAUGGGAAUAAAAUGUUCCACGUGUGGGAUUUUGUAUGUACCAUAUGAAUAAGGAUCGGCUAACUCCGUGCCAGCAGCCGCGGUAAUACGGAGGAUCCGAGCGUUAUCCGGAUUUAUUGGGUUUAAAGGGAGCGUAGGUGGAUUGUUAAGUCAGUUGUGAAAGUUUGCGGCUCAACCGUAAAAUUGCAGUUGAAACUGGCAGUCUUGAGUACAGUAGAGGUGGGCGGAAUUCGUGGUGUAGCGGUGAAAUGCUUAGAUAUCACGAAGAACUCCGAUUGCGAAGGCAGCUCACUGGACUGCAACUGACACUGAAGCACGAAAGCGUGGGGAUCAAACAGGAUUAGAUACCCCAGUAGUC